GACGAACGCUGGCGGCGUGCUUAACACAUGCAAGUCGAACGGAAAGGCCCUGCUUUUGUGGGGUGCUCGAGUGGCGAACGGGUGAGUAACACGUGAGUAACCUGCCCUUGACUUUGGGAUAACUUCAGGACACUUGGGCUAAUACCGGAAAGGAGCUCCUGCUGUAUGGUGGGGGUUGGAAAGUUUCGGCGGUUGGGGCUGGACUCGCGGCUUAUCAGCUUGUUGGUGGGGUAGUGGCUUACCAAGGCUUUGACGGGUAGCCGGCCUGAGCGGGUGACUGGACAAAUUGGGACAGAGAUACGGCCCAGACUCCUACGGGAGGGAGCAGUGGGGAAUAUUGUACUAUGGGCGGAAGCCUAAUGCAGCAACGCAGCGUGCGGGAUGACGGCCUUCGGGUAGUAUUGCGCUUUCGCCUGUGACGAAGCGUGAGUGACGGUAAUGGGUAAAGAAGCACCGGCUAACUACGUG
This 468-nucleotide ribosomal RNA is filed under the name uncultured bacterium. RNAcentral's name for it is "partial 16S ribosomal RNA". It matches the Rfam family "Bacterial small subunit ribosomal RNA", at positions 28 to 507 of the family's 1533-position model. The record is from RNAcentral.